RNAcentral lists this long non-coding RNA (1851 nucleotides) under Brassica rapa (field mustard). RNAcentral's name for it is "long non-coding RNA (BRAP_LNC004155)". The record is from RNAcentral. Lineage: Eukaryota; Viridiplantae; Streptophyta; Magnoliopsida; Brassicales; Brassicaceae.
UUUAAUGUACUCUUUCCAUUUUUUAAAAAUUGUGCAUUUACUUAUUAUUGUAUAUAUAAUUCGUAUAUUUAUAUAUUUAUAAUAUUUACUUAUUAUUUAUUUUUAUAUAUAUUGAGUAUUUCUCUUUCUUAUACUUUAUAUUUAGUUAAUAUCUAUAUUUUAUAUUUUAAGAUAGAUGUUUAAAUCUUAAUAUAUUUUUCUAUUUUUAAUGUAAAAUGACAAUGUUUAAUAGAAGAGCUUGGAUAAAUAGUCAAAUAGUUAUAUUUAUGUUUUUUUUCUUUUUUUAUAAAAUGGUAAUGUUACAUUAUGGAGAUAAGCCGUUUUUUAAGUGAAAAAUGGUAAUCUUACAUAUGUUUAAUGUAGAUUUCUAUUUUUUUAUGUUGUAUGUUUACAUAUUAUCGUUAUUUUUAAAUGUAAAAUGGUAAUCUUACAUAUGUUUAAUGUAGUAUUUCCAUUUUUUAUGUUGUAUGUUUACAUAUUAUUUAUAAUUUUCGAAGAUUAGUAAUAUUAAAAUGUAAAACUAUAUUUUAUGCCACGUGUCAUCUUUCGGGAGCAGUUUGUUUUGCUGAUGUGGACGCUCUAUGGAGCUUCAAAAUGUCUAUUUUAUUAGUAUAUUGUAUAUAUAAUUCGUAUAUUAUAUAUUUAUAAUAUUUACUUAUUAUUUAUUUUUCUAUAUAUUGAGUAUUUCUCUUUCUUAUACUUUAUAUUUAGUUAAUAUCUAUAUUUUAUAUUUUAAGAUAAAUGUUUAAAUUUUAAUAUAUUUUUCCAUUUUUAAUGUAAAACAGCAAUGUUUAAUAGAAGAACUUGGAUAAAUAGUCAAAUAGUUAUAUUUAUGUUUUUUUUUUCUUUUUUUAUAAAAUGGUAAUGUUACAUUAUGGAGAUAAGCUGUUUUUUUAAAGUAAAAAAUAGUAAUCUUACAUAUGUUUAAUGUAGAUUUCUAUUUUUUUUAUGUUGUAUGUUUACAUAUUAUUGUUAUUUUUAAAUGUAAAAUGGUAAUCUUACAUAUGUUUAAUGUAGUUUUUCCAUUUUUUAUGCUGUAUGUUUCAUAUUAUUUAUAAUUUUUAAAAAUUAGUAAAUUAAAAUGUAAAACUAUAUUUUUAUUUAGUUAAUAUCUAUAUUUUAUAUUUUAAGAUAAAUGUUUAAAUUUUAAUAUAUUUUUCCAUUUUUAAUGUAAAACAGCAAUGUUUAAUAGAAGAACUUGGAUAAAUAGUCAAAUAGUUAUAUUUAUGUUUUUUUUCUUUUUUUAUAAAAUGGUAAUGUUACAUUAUGGAGAUAAGCUGUUUUUUUAAAGUGAAAAAUAGUAAUCUUACAUAUGUUUAAUGUAGAUUUCUAUUUUUUUUAUGUUGUAUGUUUACAUAUUAUUGUUAUUUUUAAAUGUAAAAUGGUAAUCUUACAUAUGUUUAAUGUAGUUUUUCCAUUUUUUAUGCUGUAUGUUUCAUAUUAUUUAUAAUUUUUAAAAAUUAGUAAAUUAAAAUGUAAAACUAUAUUUUAUGCCACAUGUCAUCUUUCGGGAGAAUUUGUUUUCGCUGAUGUGGACGCUCUAUGGAGCCUCAAAACGUCCCUUUUAUUAGUAAGGACUAGGGAUUAACCCGGGCUACGCCCGAGAUUUUUAUUUUUUUUCUAAUUUAAGUUGUUAAAUUAUUUAUAUUUAUGUUAUGAUAUAUAUUUAUAUAAAUGUUAAGAUGCAUGUCAUAAUUAAAAUUUAUUUUUAAAUUUUAACACGUUAAAUUAACAUAUUUUUUACUAUUUAAAUAUCUUUUUUGUAAUUUUGUUGGCUAUCUAGUUACAUAUUUAGCAAAACUAUCUGUUGAGUGUUGGAAUAAAUGUUUUAGAUAUUUAAUUAAACUGCAG